GCGGGUGUGGCGAAAUUGGUAGACGCACUAGACUUAGGAUCUAGCGGGUAACCUUAUGGGUUCGAGUCCCUUCACCCGCACCA
This 83-nucleotide transfer RNA is filed under the name Erysipelotrichaceae bacterium. RNAcentral describes it as "tRNA-Leu". It matches the Rfam family "tRNA". From Rfam's summary of the family: Transfer RNA (tRNA) molecules are approximately 80 nucleotides in length. Their secondary structure includes four short double-helical elements and three loops (D, anti-codon, and T loops). Lineage: Bacteria; Bacillati; Bacillota; Erysipelotrichia; Erysipelotrichales; Erysipelotrichaceae. The record is from RNAcentral.